Molecule: RNA transcript, 4018 nt
Organism: Salvia miltiorrhiza (redroot sage)
Lineage: Eukaryota; Viridiplantae; Streptophyta; Magnoliopsida; Lamiales; Lamiaceae
Gene name: protein FAR1-RELATED SEQUENCE 3-like
Exons: 5
Source: RefSeq, a predicted model, not a curated record
CUAAGAAGUAAGAACAUAGAGGAAAAAUGGGUGAGUUUGUGCGUGCGUUGUGUUUGUAUGUGGGCAGUCUCCUGACUCCAUAGAAUUAGAGUGAAGCAAUUGAAGAAAUCUUCUCCCAAAUUACAGACCCAUUCCCAGACACUCAACGGAGGGAGUGUGUGUACGCGCGAGAGAGAGCAAUUUGACUCGGUAAUGAAUGAUUGAGGCGUUGCAAUUCUCAGAGUCGAAAAUCCAGUGCUGAUCACCCCCCUCCGUUUCCACCGUGAGUCAGCUUACAGAUAAACCAACACACUGUAGAACUUUUCGCUGGUAUAGUUUGGUUUGAUGAGAUGGAUAAUGAAGUUGUGGAGGUAGAUAUGCAGAAAAGGCAAAAGAGUAGGGAAGCUCCAACCCAACAUGGAGAUGAUGAGGCUGAAAAUUUAAGUGGAAUUUCUACCAGUCAGGCUGAUGCUGGGAAUAAUAAACCAUAUGUUAAUAUGGAGUUUGAAUCUCAAGAAGCUGCAAGGGAGUUCUAUGAUUCAUAUGCCAGGCAAGAGGGUUUUAGCACUCAUGUUGGUCAAUAUACCCGAAAUAAGCCUGAUGGUCCGAUUGUUUCUUGGGAAUUUUUCUGCUCCAGCGAGGUUUUCAAGAGAAAGAAUGUCGAGAGCUGCAAUGCCAUGCUUCAAAUAGAGCGUAAAGAUACCGGCACUUGGGUUGUGACAAAGUUUGUUGAGGAUCAUAAUCAUUCUAUUGUGAGUCCCAGCAAAGUGCAUUUCCUUAGACCUCGCAGGCAUUUUGCUGGAGCAACAAAGAAUGCCCUACCUGAGUCAGCUGAUAACCAAAACGAUGUUAUGGUCUCUGUGGAUGGAAACCAUGUAUUGUAUGAUUCCAAUCUUGUCAUGAGGAACACAUCACCCAUAGAGGCAAAUCCUGUUGCAAAGAAUAUGUCUCCUGCAGAAACAAUCUCUGUUGGUCGUACUGCAUCCUGCGUGGAAACAAGUCGUGCCACUACGAGUUCUGUUCCAGUGAUGCCACUGCAGUAUAUUCAACCUUCUAGUCGAAGAAGAGCUCUAGGAAGAGAUGCUCAUGACCUUCUCACUUAUUUCAGGAAAAUGCAGGCUGAAAACCCUGGGUUUUAUUAUGCUAUACAGCUUGAUGACGACAACCGCUUGAGCAAUGUUUUCUGGGCUGAUGCGAGAUCAAGGUCAGCUUAUAGUCACUUUGGUGAUGCAGUUACUUUUGACACAAUGUAUAGACCUAAUCAGUUUCAGGUCCCUUUUGCUCCCUUCACUGGAGUAAACAAUCAUGGACAAAUGGUUUUAUUUGGCUGUGCUCUUCUUUUGGAUGAAUCAGAGGCUUCCUUUGCUUGGGUGUUCAAAACAUGGCUGUCUGCUAUGAACAACCGGCAUCCUGUUUCCAUAACAACUGACCAAGAUAGGGCCAUAAAGGUAGCAGUUAAUCAGGUGUUCCCAGAAGCUCGUCACUGCAUUUGCAAGUGGCACAUCUUAAGAGAAGGCCAAGAAAGAUUGGCGCACGUAUACCUUGCUCAUCCUUCUUUUUAUGGAGAGCUUUAUAGCUGCAUCAAUUUUUCUGAGACAAUUGAGGAUUUUGAAUUAUCAUGGAGUUCUAUACUUGACAAGUAUGAUAUCCAGAAAAAUGAGUGGCUUCAAGCUGUAUAUAAAGCUAGGAAGCAGUGGGCUCCUGUUUAUUUUCGUGACACCUUUUUUGCUGCACUUUCAUCAAACCAUGGAGUAAGCUCUUUCUUUGAUGGUUAUGUGAACCAGCAGACGACAAUAUCCAUUUUCUUCAAGCAAUACGAACGUGCUUUGGAGAAUUUUUUAGAAAGAGAAAUAGAAGCAGAUUACUACACAAUUAGUGCAACUCCUGUACUGAAGACUCCAUCUCCAAUGGAACAACAGGCAGCUAAUUUAUAUACAAAAAAGGUUUUUGAAAAGUUUCAAGAAGAACUAGUUGAAACUUUUGUACACACUGCCAAUAAGAUUGAUGGUGAUGGUGCAAUUAGUAAAUUUAGGGUGGCUAAGUAUGAGCAUGAUCACAAGGCUUACAUCGUCAUAUUAGAUGUUUCAGAAAUGAAUGCAAGUUGCAGUUGCCAGAUGUUUGAGUAUUCAGGGGUUCUAUGCAGACACAUAUUGACUGUCUUUACUGUCACAAAUGUUCUCACUGUUCCAUCUCAGUACAUAUUAAAGAGGUGGACAAGGGAUGCAAGAGCUGGCUCGUUGGAUGAGCAAGAUACAGGUGUCUCUGCGGAAUCUCUCACAGUUCGUUUCAAUAAUCUUUGUCGAGAAGCGCUAAAAUUUGCAGAGGAAGGAGCCAUUGCUGCAGAGACUUACAAUGCAGCUGUUGAUGCUUUACAAGAAGGUGUCAGGAAGAUUGCCUUGGUGAAAAAAUUUGUAGCAAAAAACAUGCCUGCUACAUGUCAGAGCAGUGGAAAUUUCCAGGAUAAUGGUAGCAAGAAAGCUUUCGUAACAACUCCUGACAUGAUCCCAUCAUUAUGGCCCUGGCAAGAUGCUUUGUCUAAUCGCUUUAAUCUUAAUGAUGCUGGAGUCCCAGCUGCUGAUUUGAGCCAGCCAACUUUGGCCUCUUUGGCUAUAAACCGUGAUGGUGUGCUUGCUGAUAAUACUGUGGUUCUCACUUGUUUUAAGUCCAUGACAUGGGUUAUUGAGAAUAAGAGCACAGCAAGUAAAGUGGCUCUUAUCAAUUUGAAGGCAGCUCCAAGAUUAUGGCAAGGCUCCCUCAGGAGAAACUGAGGUGCAGUUUAGACUUACAAGAACGACGCUGGAGCCAAUGUUGAAAUCCAUGGCUUACAUAAGUCAGCAGCUCUCAGCACCAGCUAACAAGGUUGCUGUCAUCAAUCUAAAGGUGUGUUAAUGUGAUUCUGGGCGUGGCAUGGUUCGCCACUGGGGUAUUAAACACAAUUGGGCAAAAUAAAAAAUGGAUUUCGGGUGAACGACAAUCUAUUGUGUUUGAAGGGUGAUCCUUCAUGGACCAGACGAGUGUGCGGCUGUGGAGAUCUGCCGUCUUUGGAGGUGGGCGGACACUGUUGGUUAAUGUGGGCAAUCAAGGGGAGUGGUCCUCUACCUAAAUAUAGCUUGACUGCCUAUGAAAAGAAGACAGAGUUUGAGGCUUUGAUUUUGGCCUUCCCGGCUGUUCUACAGCCACUCUUGGGCCUUCCUCCUCAUGUGAGUGAUCACGAUAUAACUCUCCAGCAGGGCCCUUAGCCAUUUGGUUCAGCUGCACUGAUACAAUCACUCCCAAAGAGAUGAGAUUGAGAAGUUGGUAAUUGAGAUGUUGGUGGAGGGCAUAACUCAACCGAGUUGUAGUCCUUAUUCGAUCUCUGUUCUUUUGAUUCGAAAGAAUGAUUUGCUCGUGAAGGUUUUGUGUGGACUAAUGCGCAUUGAAUAAAAUCACAUUCCUUGUAAAUAUCUUGUACCCGUGAUCCAAGAGCUGUUGAAAGAGUUGCAUGGGUCGUGUUGGUUCAAUAAAAAUGAAUCUUGUAGCAGGGUAUAAUCAUCCGAGUAGCUCGUGAAGAUGUGCCAAUGACGACCUUCAGAACCCAAAUCUGACCACUACGAAUUUCUAGCAUGUUGGUUGGCCUUACUAAUGCCCCCUGUCACCUUCUAAAGCUUGCUAAAUGAUAUCUUUCGGCCUUUUAUGCAAAUUCUACCUGCUCAUCAUUUUUUUAACGACAUAUUAGUCUACAGCCGCACACAUCCACUCUAGGUAUUCCAAUUCCUUCACACUCAUUCCUUAAUUAUUAAUCCUAAAAAAUGUGUAUUAGGCAUUUCAACUGUGGAGUAUCUGGGUCAUAUUGUGUCAGCCAAGGGCGUUCACAUGAAUCCUGUGAAAGUGGUGGCAGUUGUGGAAUGGCUGACUCCCUUGUCACCCUGUCUUUGCUUUAUUUGUGACUGCAGUAAGAUUGUGGCUCCCUCAACAGCCUUACUGAAGAAAGAAACUUUGAAACCAUGGGAUUGGUCAGAGGCGAGGAGGCCAACAGGGCUUUUGAGGUGCUCAAUACAGU